RNAcentral lists this long non-coding RNA (466 nucleotides) under Equus asinus (donkey). RNAcentral describes it as "lncRNA (ENSEASG00005025693.1)". The record is from RNAcentral. Lineage: Eukaryota; Metazoa; Chordata; Mammalia; Perissodactyla; Equidae.
GAACCUGAAACCUUUAAAAAGUAAAGUCAGAAAUGAAUGAUGAUUGUUUGCCGUUGGGGUGAGAGAGAGGGAUGAGUCAUGGAGGGCACCAGCAGAGAGGAAGAGGAUGAAAAGAGGAACGAUUUGAGAGCCGGGAUCCAUCCUCUGAGCCUGGCUGAAAGGAGACAAGUGGAUAUGACUGGAGAUGUCUGGAGGGAGGAGGGUGAGACACAGAAAAGACUCUCUUGUGAUGCCCUUUCCGAACCCGAAAAACUUGGAGAGAAUUUGAACGUGACCUUUGUGACUUAGCCACAUCUCACUUUAGCCGGAUGUCACCGUGCCCGUGGCCAGGUCUCUGUCUCGUUCAUUUUGGAAUCAUCCCCAGCCUGGAGCAGCUGACCAGGGACGGCUGAAUAAAAUAUUUUCUGACUUGAAAUAAAAUGUUUGAAAUGGAAAGUCAAGACUUUUUAGCCAAAAGGCGUUUGUG